GACGAACGCUGGCGGCGUGCUUAACACAUGCAAGUCGAACGGAAAGGCCCUGCUUUUGUGGGGUGCUCGAGUGGCGAACGGGUGAGUAACAUGUGAGUAACCUGCCCUUGACUUUGGGAUAACUUCAGGAAACUGGGGCUAAUACCGGAUAGGAGCUCCUGCUGCAUGGUGGGGGUUGGAAAGUUUCGGCGGUUGGGGAUGGACUCGCGGCUUAUCAGCUUGUUGGUGGGGUAGUGGCUUACCAAGGCUUUGACGGGUAGCCGACCUGAGAGGGUGACCGGCCACAUUGGGACUGAGAUACGGCCCAGACUCCUACGGGAGGCAGCAGUGGGGAAUAUUGCACAAUGGGCGGAAGCCUGAUGCAGCAACGCCGCGUGCGGGAUGACGGCCUUCGGGUUGUAAACCGCUUUCGCCUGUGACGAAGCGUGAGUGACGGUAAUGGGUAAAGAAGCACCGGCUAACUACGUG
This 468-nucleotide ribosomal RNA is filed under the name uncultured bacterium. RNAcentral's name for it is "partial 16S ribosomal RNA". It matches the Rfam family "Bacterial small subunit ribosomal RNA", at positions 28 to 507 of the family's 1533-position model. The record is from RNAcentral.